CUUGGGUGAAAAACAUUUAUGGUUAGGACAUGCGUCUGGGUCUGGAGCCUGGCUGCCCUGGGAUCCCCACAUCACAUAUGUGAUUAUAAACUCUAUGAAGGCAGAGAUGCUUCUAAUCUUAAACCCCGCUAAAACUCCAGCAUUCAGCAGCGCUCCUGGCAUAUAGGGGGUAUUCAGUAAUUGGUUGUUGAAUGAAUGAAUGAAAGUCCUGUCUGUUUUAAGGUAAAUUUUUUUAAUGUUUAUUUAUUUUUGAGAGAGACAGAGCGUGAGUGGUGGGGGGCAGAGAGAGAGGGGGCCACAGAAUCUGAAGCAGGCUCCAGGCUCUGAGCUGUCAGCACAGAACCUGACGCAGGGCUCGAACUCAUGAACUGUGAGAUCAUGACCUGAGCUGAAGUCGGACGCUCAACCAACUGAGUCACCCAGGCAGCCCUGCUUUAAGUCUGGACCAUACUUCUUGCUGGCACUGGAGAAGCAAACAUAUACAUGAAACACAAUCUCUGUCUCACUGGAAGAAGAAAAAGAAGAAGAGGAGGUCCGAUGACUUCAUAUGAAUUAACUCAAUUAAUCCUCACAGCAAUCCUACAAGAUAGGCGAAUUUUUAUCCCCAUUUUACAGAUGAAACAACCAAGAUUAAGUUCUUUGCCCAAGAUCAUGUCAUUGCUAAGUACUUAAUGGCUCUGGGGUCCAUGAACUGUAUCACUGUGUUAGGUUUCCUCUCUGAAAACACAGUGUUCUGUACCACAGAUUCUAAAAAGCAUAUAAGGGGCGCCUGGGUGGCGCAGUUGGUUGGGCGUCCGACUUCAGCCAGGUCACGAUCUUGCGGUCCGUGAGUUCGAGCCCCGCGUCAGGCUCUGGGCUGAUGGCUCGGAGCCUGGAGCCUGUUUCCGAUUCUGUGUCUCCCUCUCUCUCUGCCCCUCCCCCGUUCAUGCUCUGUCUCUCUCUGUCCCAAAAAUAAAUAAAAAACGUUGAAAAAAAAAUUAAAAAAAAAAAAAAAAAUAAAUAAAUAAGCAUAUAAAAUGAACUGUUUUGUUCAUUUCUUCCACAAAUACUUACUGAGCUCUAACUAUGUUCUAGGCAGUAGACUAGCCUAGGGGGGAUAAAAGGUAGCAAGAAAGACAUGUGGUUCUAUCCUUGAGAAGCUGACGGUCGCAAAGCAAAUAAAUCCAAGGACGCCAACCAAUUCAAACGUUAUAAACCAAUUCAGUUCCUCCAACCUGGGAUGGAGGGAAACAGCAGGGGAAUUUUCUCUAGAUGUGGUGGACAGGAAGGUCUGCCUGACACGUUAGCUAAGACCUGAAGGAAGAGAUGGAGCUGAGCUGAAGGCAAGAGCAUCUGGGAUGGGGAAUGGGUGGUUUUGAGCCACUGAAAGCAGAGAGAAGAACAGCGAGAGGUGAGUUGGAGAGGUGGGUAUCCGGCCAUGCGGGGCCUCAGGGGUGAUAGUGAGUAGUUGUGAUUUCAUGCUGAAGGCAGCAGACAGCCACGAAGAGCUUUAAGUGGGAGCGUAACGAAUGGUGUGACCUGAUCUCUUUUUAGAAAGCACUUCUGCUUCAUGGGGAUGGAUUACAAGAAGCAGAGACCUUGUGGAGAGACCCAGUAAGAGACUCCUGUAACAUUCCAGGUGGUAAUGAGUUCACUCUGGAGGGGGCAGCGUAGAUGAAAAGUAGGUGAAUUUGAGAUAUGCUGUGCUGGUAGAAUCAACAGACGUGAUAAUAAAUUGGAUACGGAAGAGUGGAAGGGGCUACAAGGGAACACGAAGAGUCAAGGUUGAGUCCUAAAGCUUUGGGGAGGACGGUGGUUCCAUUUCCUGAGAUAAGACAGUGUGUGCGUGUGUGCGUGCGUGCGUGUGUUGGGUGAGAGGGAGAGUUACAGAGAGAUGCAGUCCAGUCUUGUGCUUCAGAUCCAUGAUGUCAUCACAUCUCAGCCUCCUUCCAUCCUCCUGCUUUGCCAUCUAGUGUGUGGCUUGCAUUCUCAUGGUCCCAAGAUGGCUGCAAUCCUUCCAGCCCAUAUCCAUGUUUGCAACAGGAAGAUGGAAAAGGAAGCAAGCAACAUGGAAGAAAGUAGUGACCCUUCUCUGAAAGAAAACUUUCCUUGAAAUCCCCCACAGACUUCUGCUUAUAUCUCCUUGGCCAAAAUUCUGUCCCAAGGCUAGCCUUUGUUGCAAGGGAUGCUGGGAAAUGCGGCUUUAUAAUGGAGUGAGGUCUCCAUUCUUCAUGAGUGAGCAAACUGCAUCACAAGUGCUGGCAAACCCGGGGCUGUCCUAUUUCUGAUGAUAAAGAAUCUUCCAUUUGUGAAAAGGAAAGACCAACCUUCUGUCAUCGACCUCCUUGCCACCUCCCAAGAGCAUCCCUCAGUACCAGAACUUCUCUCUUUUUCAAGUGACCACGUCACGCAGAAGCAUUGCCAUCAGGCUUGGUAUUCUGCCACCAAGCUCAUACCAAAUAUCCUGAGAGGUUGGCUUAGUCCAAUUGAGUGCCACUUUUAUCUUACAAACUGCCUCGUGAUUCUUGGAAGGGAAGCAAUACCAGAUUUAGCUAUGGGAGAGUCUCCUCAUCAGGGUCCCCAGGGCAGUCUAGGUGACCCAGGCGUGUGAGCCAGCCAUCCCCAAUAUGUGUCUCUGGGAUGCUGAAGCCUUUAUUCCCUGUGCAUUGUAGGGCCCCUCUACCUGAGCCGAGAAGAGAAUUCCCUGGCAGAAAGCAGAGGCCUGUCUAGAAGCUGUGGCCCAUUAGCCUUGUACAAAGAUAGACUGUGCUCUGCUGGAAUCUAAUCUGGAAGCGUUUAAUACAUUUGCAGCACACGUGCCAGCUGCUUAGGAGGAGGGAUGGUCAGUUUUUUCUCUAAAAGAGAAACUUCAAGCUGAAUAUAAAUCAGCCUUCUCAAUAUGCCCAUCAUACCUGACACUGAAAAGAGUCUUCAGUGAGGGGAAUUGUGGUCUCUGGGGAAGAACCUUGGCCAACAACGAAGAGAAAGAGAAGGAAGAGACCAAAAAAAAAAAGGAAGGAGAGGCUCUCAUUGUGUUGAAUCAGAAACCACUUUUUCUCUGGAAGAAAUUCAGCAAGUGAGUGUCUUGUCAACUUACUCGAGUGAAAACAGGGGCAAUUAAGACAGGACAAACCAUCCCCAAACGCUCAAGUUUGGGAUUCGUUGAACAUCUCAAGCUAUUUUCCAAAUGUUUGGGGUUUGGCACAGUCCGGGCUCAUGGUUGGGAAAUUUUCCUGAAGAUCUGUCUGAAUGGCCCUAUUUUUAUUCCAUCCCCUUGCAGUUAAUAUCCGGCUAACUCAUUCGCUCCAUGUUUUGUACUGGCUACACGUUGGAUAUCUUCAGACACUACACGCGUCUGUUCCCCUUCAUGUGGUUCACCGAAAUCUCAGGAUAUCGUCUUCCUGCCAUUUGUGUCUCUUUGUCCACCAUCCUCGGGGAUUGGGAGAUGGUGGCAAGGACAGAAACGGGCCCACGUCACGUGCAGCGCUGCACAAGGAUUCCAAAAACGUUUCUCAAAGCCUCAGGAGGUGCAAGAGCUGACUGCACAGUUUUGAAAAGAUUGCAUACGGAGAGGGAUUGAAUUUAUUCUCUCUGGCCCCAGAGGGGUGGAACUAGGACCAGAGACAUCUGUGGGCUCACUACAAGAAGGAACUUCUCAUUUCAGAGCAGCCAGAAGGACAAAGAGCUGUGUUGUCUUCGGCAGAAGACGUGGGUCUCCAUCCGAGGUUCGUAAUGGUCCUCCAUUAAUUUUUGGAGACUGAAAAAUGUAUCAAUAAAGGUAUUCAACUAUAGACAAUGGUUGGAUCGAACGA
This is a long non-coding RNA of Panthera uncia (snow leopard), 3791 nucleotides long. RefSeq lists it as uncharacterized. The transcript is spliced from 4 exons. The record is from RefSeq and is a predicted model, not a curated record. NCBI's taxonomy places the organism in Eukaryota, Metazoa, Chordata, Mammalia, Carnivora, Felidae.